CCCUUAGAUGUUCUGGGCCGCACGCGCGCUACAAUGAUGAAUUCAACGAGUCUAUAACCUUGGUUGAAAAGCCUGGGUAAUCUUUUGAACUUUCGUCGUGAUGGGGCUAGACCCUUGCAAUUAUUGGUCUCCAACGAGGAAUUCCUAGUAAACGCAAGUCAUCAGCUUGCAUUGAUUACGUCCCUGCCCUUUGUACACACCGCCCGUCGCACCUACCGAUUGAAUGGUCCGGUGAAAUCUUCGGAUUGAGACUUUGAUUUCUUCACGGAAAACGCUGUUUUAAAAAGUUGAUUAAACCUUACCAUUUAGAGGAAGGUGAAGUCGUAACA
RNAcentral lists this ribosomal RNA (329 nucleotides) under uncultured eukaryote. RNAcentral's name for it is "partial 18S ribosomal RNA". It matches the Rfam family "Eukaryotic small subunit ribosomal RNA", at positions 1470 to 1796 of the family's 1831-position model. The record is from RNAcentral.